UUUCACAAUCCCAGAAUCAACAAGCCCCUUUACACCAGAUUUCGUCUCCUCAAAUUCCUUGAGCUCUUUAAUCCGGUCAUUAAUUUGUGCAGAUACAGGUAGGGACUCUUUGAGGGUCGACAUAUUCAUUUUCUGUUUGUUCUUCACAACUAAGAGAGAGAGAGAGAGAGAGUUGGAACAAUAUUGAUCAAACUCUGUAGGAGCGAGUUACACUGUUGAACUACUUUAUUUAAAAGAUUUAAUCGUUAAAAAUGGAACAUUAAUUUUCAUUAUAUAUAUAUGUAUGUGUGUGUGUAUAUAUAUAUA
RNAcentral lists this long non-coding RNA (306 nucleotides) under Olea europaea (common olive). RNAcentral describes it as "long non-coding RNA (OEUR_LNC012128)". Lineage: Eukaryota; Viridiplantae; Streptophyta; Magnoliopsida; Lamiales; Oleaceae. The record is from RNAcentral.